RNAcentral lists this ribosomal RNA (448 nucleotides) under uncultured bacterium. RNAcentral's name for it is "partial 16S ribosomal RNA". It matches the Rfam family "Bacterial small subunit ribosomal RNA", at positions 29 to 523 of the family's 1533-position model. The record is from RNAcentral.
AACGAACGCUGGCGGCAUGCCUACACAUGCAAGUCGAACGAGAUCUUCGGGUCUAGUGGCGCACGGGUGCGUAACGCGUGGGAAUCUGCCCUUUGGUUCGGAAUAACAGUUGGAAACGACUGCUAAUAUCGGAUGAUGACGAAAGUCCAAAGAUUUAUCGCCAGAGGAUGAGCCCGCGUAGGAUUAGCUAGUUGGUGGGGUAAAGGCGCACCAAGGCGACGAUCCUUAGCUGGUCUGAGAGGAUGAUCAGCCACACUGGGACUGAGACACGGCCCAGAGUCCUACGGGAGGCAGCAGUGGGGGAUAUUGGACAAUGGGCGAAAGCCUGAUCCAGCAAUGCCGCGUGAGUGAUGAAGGCCGUAGGGUUGUAAAGCUCUUUUACCCGGGAUGAUAAUGACAGUACCGGGAGAAUAAGCUCCGGCUAACUCCGUGGCAGCCGCCGCGGUAA